UCUGUCCCUAGAGGAACUGCAGGUGUGGCUAAUAUGUCAUAUGUACCUAAGCAGGUAGCAGAAAGGAGAGAGGCUAUGUCUACACCCAGAGUCGACAAACAUCUGAAUGAUCAGUAGCCUCACAUC
Molecule: small nucleolar RNA, 126 nt
Organism: Rattus norvegicus (Norway rat)
Lineage: Eukaryota; Metazoa; Chordata; Mammalia; Rodentia; Muridae
Product: small nucleolar RNA SNORA17
Source: Ensembl